RNAcentral lists this unclassified non-coding RNA (962 nucleotides) under Dermacentor andersoni. RNAcentral describes it as "uncharacterized LOC126516718". The record is from RNAcentral. Lineage: Eukaryota; Metazoa; Arthropoda; Arachnida; Ixodida; Ixodidae.
CCUACUGUAACAUGUUUAAUGUCUUUCAGAGGGAAGCGCCUUGUCUUUUGAUGAUUAUAACAUCAUGCGGGGCUACAUGAGCAGCUCGCAGGGGUUGGAGCAAUACGGUACCCCUCUUCCGAACCGGUGUCGAGGACCGCCCAUGGGUUCAGCUCAGGUAUUGCGUGGAAGAGGGUCUGGCCAAGGUUCGCAGCGCGUGUUUUGAGGUUCUACGCCGCGCCCAGCGCCAAGUGGCUCCCACAAGGACGGCGAGGAUUUCUGGAUCCAUGGACCUUGCACUCGACACCCGCCUCAGCACACCUCGACGAUGCUUCAGAGAUGCCCCUUGAACGUCAUUGCCACUGCUCGCAGUUGCCUUCCACAACCAUAUCCCGGGAGAAUGCGCCCGAAAUCGACUUGCGCCCAGCGAUCGUCAACGCCACAGCCUGCCAGCAGACCACAGCUGCUGUAGGAUGCUCUGCCUUGUAUCCCGGGCUACCACUGCCACGCAUGCGUACAAGUGCGUUCGUCGUGCGAGGCACGUGGUCCUUUUUGUUGUUGCUGCUCGUCGCGACAGGCUGGAGCAUCCGCUACGUCGCUGAUUGGCGCAACUGCUGGACAGGGAGGCAUGGCCACACGGCCAGGUUGGGCAGUGCCGAGCCCGGUGCCAACUGGUCAUCGAUGGGAACAGGCAGAAUUACACUGGAAGUUAAACUGCCUGGGUGUCGUCAACGGCUCGCCACUGUGCUUUCGAGGGGCUGCCACCGACGAUGUCGCGAAGAAAACUGCCCUGUACUUGAAGAAUUGAAUGCGUGUGUUUUAUGUAACGUGCAUCGCAGCUUAAUGAGGCAGGUUCGAGUCGCGUGGCAAAGGGAUGGUGGGACAGGGAAAUUACUUAUAAUUUGCGUUCUUCGUUUUCAUAAACAUUAAAGUUUCAUGUAAUACUUAGAGACAAUAAAGUCGGUGAUGAUGUGUAGUGACAA